RNAcentral lists this unclassified non-coding RNA (229 nucleotides) under plant metagenome. RNAcentral describes it as "partial contains small subunit ribosomal RNA, internal transcribed spacer 1, and 5.8S ribosomal RNA". The record is from RNAcentral.
UCUCCGUAGGUGAACCUGCGGAGGGAUCAUUACAGAGUUCAUGCCCUACCGGGUAGAUCUCCCACCCUAUGUUAUUAUUACUUUGUUGCUUUGGCGGGCCGUUAGGCUCCGGCCCGACUACCGGCCCCGGCUGGUAAGCGCCCGCCAGAGGACCCAAAACCCUGAACAUUAGUGUCGUCUGAGUACUAUAUAAUAGUUAAAACUUUCAACGACGGAUCUCUUGGUUCUG